RNAcentral lists this long non-coding RNA (397 nucleotides) under Rattus norvegicus (Norway rat). RNAcentral describes it as "long non-coding RNA NONRATT001929". The record is from RNAcentral. Lineage: Eukaryota; Metazoa; Chordata; Mammalia; Rodentia; Muridae.
UUGUCCAAGAUGGAGGGCGCCCUUUCGGCGCCGCUGCCCGUCCGGCUGUUGCUGUUUGUGGCGCUGCCAGCCGCGGGGUGGCUGACCACCAACGCGCCCAGGCCUCUGUCCACAGUCCCGCAGGUAGGGCCGGGCGGGCGCAGCAGGCCGCUCCUCUGCCGGGACCUCCGGGAGGCCGGUCGCGGUGACGCUGACCUCUCCCGCAGGUGGACAGCCGGGGGUGCGGGACUGGACAGGGUCUGGCGGCCCGCUGAGAAGGGAGGGCGCUUUCCCGGAUGCCGGGCAGUGUGGGUCCCCCCGCUCCCCGAAGGGGAACGCAAGGAAGGCGCGCAGGCGUCCUUGAAUGCGUGUCAAGACUGCGCCUACCGAACUUGAGGUUCGUACACCUCCGGAACCC